GGGGAUGACAUGGCUUCGACGAGGAGUUGGAUUUCAAGGAUGCAUGUCGAGGACAAAGAUUGCUCGUAAAAACGUUCUUUAAAUAAUAGUUGCAAACGAAGACAACUACGCUUUAGCAGCAUAAUGCUAACCGUUACUUAGGAGUUGUCUGUACUUUUAGGAUAACGGUCGCUAACAGACUCGCCACUAUUAUUAUUUUAGGAUAAUAGGGUUAAAACCUAAACUAAAAUCGCUUUCUACAUCCCUGUGGGUCGGGUGGUAAAAAGUUAACUCAAUAGACCUUUACUAAGCAUGUAGACUUCUUGACUGAAAGUUUUCGGACGGGGGUUCAAUUCCCCCCAUCUCCACCA
Molecule: non-coding RNA, 350 nt
Organism: Candidatus Thioglobus
Lineage: Bacteria; Pseudomonadati; Pseudomonadota; Gammaproteobacteria; Pseudothioglobaceae (SeqCode)
Rfam family: transfer-messenger RNA
About the family: Bacterial tmRNA, also known as 10Sa RNA or SsrA, is named for its dual tRNA and mRNA-like properties. Its role is to liberate the mRNA from a stalled ribosome. To accomplish this part of the tmRNA is used as a reading frame that ends in a translation stop signal.
Source: Rfam